RNAcentral lists this unclassified non-coding RNA (212 nucleotides) under Hevea brasiliensis (rubber tree). The record is from RNAcentral. Lineage: Eukaryota; Viridiplantae; Streptophyta; Magnoliopsida; Malpighiales; Euphorbiaceae.
AUCGUCCCCAAAUACGAACCCUAAUAUCAACCCGACUUCAUUUCAAAAUCAGAACCCCAAUUCCAAGACCUCAACACCUCUGCCCAACCAGCCUUCACAACAGCAACAAUCUCUCUCCACUUCACAGCAAAUCACUAGGCCUUCCGCCGCAUUGUCUGGAACUUGGCAACCACCCUCGCAUUUCUCUCAUUUUUCUUCUCCUUCGCCUUCUG